UCCUAGGUAGCUCAAUGGUGGAGCACUCGGCUGUUAACCGAUAGGUUGUGGGUUCGAGCCCCACCCUGGGAG
Molecule: transfer RNA, 72 nt
Filed under: Peptostreptococcaceae bacterium oral taxon 113 str. W5053
Lineage: Bacteria; Bacillati; Bacillota; Clostridia; Peptostreptococcales; Peptostreptococcaceae
Rfam family: tRNA
About the family: Transfer RNA (tRNA) molecules are approximately 80 nucleotides in length. Their secondary structure includes four short double-helical elements and three loops (D, anti-codon, and T loops).
Source: Rfam by way of RNAcentral